This is a long non-coding RNA of Pogoniulus pusillus (Red-fronted tinkerbird), 1155 nucleotides long. RefSeq lists it as uncharacterized. The transcript is spliced from 2 exons. The record is from RefSeq and is a predicted model, not a curated record. NCBI's taxonomy places the organism in Eukaryota, Metazoa, Chordata, Aves, Piciformes, Lybiidae.
CAUCAGCACUCUUGUGCUAGAAGCAGCCCCUGUCUGUGCAAGUCUGCCCUGAACUUCAGAAAGUGCCCUCACUGAGAAGAGACUGAGCUGAGAAGUCAAACCCCUGACCAGAACUGGUUCUCGUCUAUCCCAAACCAGGACAGUUCCACUCAGCACAAAGUAUAUUCUACUUUUUAAGUUCAUCCACACCAAGAGUGUUUCUACACCCUUUGAGAGCUUCUCUGAGUGACAGCCACAGAACAGCCACCCUGGCAAGAGGGCAACUACAAAUGGAUCCCACUUUUUUCCAUUCCUUUGAAGAAUAUCACCACCAAUAACAACAAAACCAGCAGAUACUGGGAGUCUUAGGAUGAGAAAGCUUCAGUGAGUACAAGUGUCGCAUUCCUCAUGUAGUUCUCUUAAAGGUUAUAAGUCAAAAAUCAGAUCACUUAAUAUACAGUCAAUCACAUAUGAUGAGAGAUGACCACAGCCUCUGCAGAUUUCCAGCUCCUUACUUUCCUGUCAUCUCUACAGCUAAUAUCAGAUGACAGCGUUGAGAUCCUCCAAUUCUUUGCUAAUGCCCUGCUCAAACCUAGAGCCAACAUGUGAUAUCAUACUUUCUGUCUCCCUCCCACAUCUCUUGCUUGCUUUCUCUAUCUUGUGCCCUCUCAGGUGCCUCUCAUAGAAUCACAGACUCAUGGAAUCAUUAAGAUUGAAAAAGACCUCUAAAAUCAUCAACCCAACACACCAUGCCUGAUAGAAUCAUAGAAUCAAUAAGGUUGGAAAAGACCUCUAAAAUCACUGAGUCCAAGCAUCAGCCCCACCAUGCCCACUAAACCAUUUCCCUCUCAUGCAUAUUUCUGUCUAUUAGCAGUGAUAUACAGUCUUGUCUUUUCAGAGGAGGAAUUCACAAUGCUACCUUUCAUUGAGUGAGAUGCUCUGCAUUCUUUCUGAAACAGCUAUUACUGGUCUGGACUGAGGAAUGAGAGAAAAACCAAAGCAGUUCAGUAGAAAUUAUCUUCUUAAUGGUGAAAUCUGAAUUAUAUAUAUUAGAACACCAUUUAUCCAAUGUAUUUCAUUAUCCUUCUUAAAAAGGGGAAGACUCCUCUGUGUCUUCUGUAUGCCUAUGAAGGUUUAUUAGCCUGAGUAAAAAGUUAUUAUUAUUCAAUUGAAUAA